This 294-nucleotide unclassified non-coding RNA is filed under the name Saitozyma sp. RNAcentral describes it as "partial contains 5.8S ribosomal RNA, internal transcribed spacer 2, and large subunit ribosomal RNA". The stretch from base 1 to 71 matches the Rfam family "5.8S ribosomal RNA", at positions 84 to 154 of the family's 154-position model. Lineage: Eukaryota; Fungi; Basidiomycota; Tremellomycetes; Tremellales; Trimorphomycetaceae. The record is from RNAcentral.
GUGAAUCAUCGAAUCUUUGAACGCACCUUGCGCCCUCUGGUAUUCCGGAGGGCAUGCCUGUUUGAGUGUCAUGUAGACUCAAUCCCUCGGGUUUCCGAGGAGAUUGGACUUGGGUGUUGCCGCUCUGCCGGCUCGCCUUAAAAGACUUGGCGGGAUAGCACCGUAGUCGGCGUAAUAAGUUUCGUCGGUGAAGGUUGUGAUGACUGCUUACAAUCGCCCUCGGGCAAUUUUUGACUCUGACCUCAAAUCAGGUAGGACUACCCGCUGAACUUAAGCAUAUCAAUAAGCGGAGGA